Molecule: ribosomal RNA, 243 nt
Filed under: uncultured bacterium
Lineage: Bacteria
Description: partial 16S ribosomal RNA
Rfam family: Bacterial small subunit ribosomal RNA
Source: RNAcentral
UACAGAGGGGGCAAGCGUUGUUCGGAAUUACUGGGCGUAAAGGGCGCGUAGGCGGUUCGUUAAGUCCUGUGUGAAAUCCCCCCGGCUCAACUGGGGAACUGCACAGGAAACUAGCGGGCUUGAGUUCGGGAGAGGGAAGCGGAAUUCCGGGUGUAGCGGUGAAAUGCGUAGAUAUCUGGAGGAAUACCGGUGGCGAAGGCGGCAUCCUGGACCGGCAUUGACGCUGAUGAGCGAAAGCUAGGG